Molecule: ribosomal RNA, 274 nt
Filed under: uncultured bacterium
Lineage: Bacteria
Description: partial 16S ribosomal RNA
Rfam family: Bacterial small subunit ribosomal RNA
Source: RNAcentral
AUACGGAGGGUGCAAGCGUUGUCCGGAUUUAUUGGGUUUAAAGGGUACGUAGGCGGAUUUUUAAGUCCGUGGUGAAAGCCUGCAGCUUAACUGUAGAAUUGCCAUGGAUACCGGAAAUCUUGAGUUCAGUUGAGGUAAGCGGAAUUUAUGAUGUAGCGGUGAAAUGCAUAGAUAUCAUAAAGAACACCUAUUGCGAAGGCAGCUUACUGGACUUGAACUGACGCUAAGGUACGAAAGCGUGGGGAGCGAACAGGAUUAGAAACCCCAGUAGUCC